Molecule: ribosomal RNA, 772 nt
Filed under: Tropidophorus matsuii
Lineage: Eukaryota; Metazoa; Chordata; Lepidosauria; Squamata; Scincidae
Description: partial 16S rRNA
Rfam family: Bacterial large subunit ribosomal RNA
Source: RNAcentral
ACUCCUAAUUUUAUACUGAGCCACACUAUAACAAUAGACGUACUAAUGUUAAAACUAGUAACAAGAAAAAUUCUCUACGGCACACCCAUGCAUCAGUAAUAGAAAAUCUACUGAUAAUUAACAGACUAAAACAAGCCUAUACUACAUUUCCCGUAUUAAACAAACUGUCACACCAACACCGGGGCGCCAUAAAGAAAGAUUUAAAGAUGUAGAAGGAACUCGGCAAACAUUGUCCCAACUGUUUACCAAAAACAUAGCCUUUAGCAAUAAAAGUAUUAAAGGUCCCGCCUGCCCAGUGAAACUAUUUCAACGGCCGCGGUAUUCUAACCGUGCAAAGGUAGCGUAAUCACUUGUCUCCUAAAUAGAGACCAGUAUGAAUGGCUAAAUGAGGACAAAUCUGUCUCCUACAACUAAUCAGUGAAACUGAUCUACCAGUACAAAAGCUGGUAUAUACCCAUAAGACGAGAAGACCCUGUGGAGCUUUAAACCCAACUACUAAUAAUUAUUAUAUAGUAAUAGGUUUUGAGUUGGGGCGACUUCGGAAUAAAACAAAACUUCCGAGCACAGAACCACCAGUUCUAACCAAGGCCAACAAGCCAAAGCACAAACUGACCCAGUCACACUGAUCAACGAACCAAGUUACCCCAGGGAUAACAGCGCUAUCUUCUUCAAGAGUCCCUAUCGACAAGAAGGUUUACGACCUCGAUGUUGGAUCAGGACACCCAAAUGGUGCAGCCGCUAUUAAAGGUUCGUUUGUUCAACGAUUAACAGU